This 433-nucleotide ribosomal RNA is filed under the name uncultured bacterium. RNAcentral's name for it is "partial 16S ribosomal RNA". It matches the Rfam family "Bacterial small subunit ribosomal RNA", at positions 29 to 507 of the family's 1533-position model. The record is from RNAcentral.
AACGAACGCUGGCGGCAUGCCUAACACAUGCAAGUCGAACGAGACCUUCGGGUCUAGUGGCGCACGGGUGCGUAACGCGUGGGAACCUGCCCUUAGGUUCGGAAUAACUCCCCGAAAGGGGUGCUAAUACCGGAUAAUGUCUUCGGACCAAAGAUUUAUCGCCUUUGGAUGGGCCCGCGUUGGAUUAGCUAGUUGGUAGGGUAAAAGCCUACCACGGCGACGAUCCAUAGCUGGUCUGUGAGGAUGAUCAGCCACACUGGGACUGAGACACGGCCCAGACUCCUACGGGAGGCAGCAGUGGGGAAUAUUGGAAAAUGGGCGAAAGCCUGAAGCAGCAAGGCCGCGUGAGUGAUGAAGGCCGUAGGGUUGUAAAGCUCUUUUACCCGGGAUGAUAAUGACAGUACCGGGAGAAUAAGCUCCGGCUAACUACGUG